RNAcentral lists this signal recognition particle RNA (99 nucleotides) under Bacteroidota bacterium. RNAcentral describes it as "signal recognition particle sRNA small type". It matches the Rfam family "Bacteroidales small SRP". From Rfam's summary of the family: The non-coding component of the signal recognition particle in Bacteroides RNAcentral also lists the same sequence under 1 other name. Lineage: Bacteria; Pseudomonadati; Bacteroidota. The record is from RNAcentral.
GGGUAAGUCCUGUACGACCAGCUCCCGCUGAAUUCCCCCAGGGUUGGAAAGCAGCAAGGGUAGGUGGUUGAGCGGUGCGAUACAGAUCGCUUACCCACU